This 468-nucleotide ribosomal RNA is filed under the name uncultured bacterium. RNAcentral describes it as "partial 16S ribosomal RNA". It matches the Rfam family "Bacterial small subunit ribosomal RNA", at positions 28 to 507 of the family's 1533-position model. The record is from RNAcentral.
GACGAACGCUGGCGGCGUGCUUAACACAUGCAAGUCGAACGGAAAGGCCCUGCUUUUGUGGGGUGCUCGAGUGGCGAACGGGUGAGUAACGCGUGAGUAACCUGCCCUUGACUUUGGGAUAACUUCAGGAAACUGGGGCUAAUACCGGAUAGGAGCUCCUGCUGCAUGGUGGGGGUUGGAAAGUUUCGGCGGUUGGGGAUGGACUCGCGGCUUAUCAGCUUGUUGGUGGGGUAGUGGCUUACCAAGGCUUUGACGGGUAGCCGGCCUGAGAGGGUGACCGGCCACAUUGGGACUGAGAUACGGCCCAGACUCCUACGGGAGGCAGCAGUGGGGAAUAUUGCACAAUGGGCGGAAGCCUGAUGCAGCAACGCCGCGUGCGGGAUGACGGCCUUCGGGUUGUAAACCGCUUUCGCCUGUGACGAAGCGUGAGUGACGGUAAUGGGUAAAGAAGCACCGGCUAACUAUGUG